Molecule: ribosomal RNA, 254 nt
Filed under: uncultured bacterium
Lineage: Bacteria
Also listed under: 2 other names
Description: partial 16S ribosomal RNA
Rfam family: Bacterial small subunit ribosomal RNA
Source: RNAcentral
GACGUAGGGUCCAAGCGUUGUCCGGAUUUACUGGGCGUAAAGAGCACGUAGGCGGCUUGUUAAGUGUGAAGUGAAAUCUCCAGGGCUCAACCCGGAAACCGCUUCGCAUACUGGCAAGCUAGAGGAAUGCAGAGGUAAGUGGAAUUCCUGGUGUAGCGGUGAAAUGCAUAGAUAUCAGGAGGAACACCCAUGGCGAAGGCAGCUUACUGGGCAUUAUCUGACGCUGAGGUGCGAAAGCGUGGGGAGCAAACAGG